GUGGAUAUAGCUCAGUGGUAGAGUGCGUGCUUAGCAUGCACAAGGUCCUGGGUUCAAUCCCCAGUACCUCCA
This 72-nucleotide transfer RNA is filed under the name Camelus bactrianus (Bactrian camel). It matches the Rfam family "tRNA". Rfam says of the family: Transfer RNA (tRNA) molecules are approximately 80 nucleotides in length. RNAcentral also lists the same sequence under 2 other names. Lineage: Eukaryota; Metazoa; Chordata; Mammalia; Artiodactyla; Camelidae. The record is from Rfam by way of RNAcentral.